UACGUAGGGCGCAAGCGUUGUCCGGAAUUAUUGGGCGUAAAGAGCUCGUAGGCAGCCUGUCGCGUCUGCUGUGAAAUCCCGGGGCUUAACCCCGGGCGUGCAGUGGAUACGGGCUGGCUGGAGGCAGGCAGGGGAGAAUGGAAUUCCCGGUGUAGCGGUGAAAUGCGCAGAUAUCGGGAGGAACACCGGUGGCGAAGGCGGCAUCCUGGACCAACACUGACGCUGAGUGAGCGAAAGCCAGGGGAGCAAACGGG
RNAcentral lists this ribosomal RNA (254 nucleotides) under uncultured bacterium. Its description in RNAcentral is "partial 16S ribosomal RNA". It matches the Rfam family "Bacterial small subunit ribosomal RNA", at positions 524 to 776 of the family's 1533-position model. The record is from RNAcentral.